Long non-coding RNA from Uranotaenia lowii, 928 nucleotides. RefSeq lists it as uncharacterized. The transcript has 3 exons. The record is from RefSeq and is a predicted model, not a curated record. NCBI's taxonomy places the organism in Eukaryota, Metazoa, Arthropoda, Insecta, Diptera, Culicidae.
AAGCACUUACCGGAAUUAAUGUGUACGAAGCAUUGUGGGCUCCGCGAAUCGAAUCAACCGUGGCGUUUAACAUUUCCUUUCACUAUCGAUCACCGGAAACAGUUAACACCGAUGUAUCGGCUGGUAUUGACACUUGCUGAUUUCGCUCGUCGGCCAAAAAUACUAGGCCCAGGAUAUAAAUUUCCUAAUCACCAGGAGCAGCUUGGAAAGCAGGUGUAGUUAGAUCCCUACGGACCAGUGGACAAUCGAGUGUUUAAUGCGGGCUCCCUUAAUGAUAUGCUGACGUUCCCCCUGGAAGUGACCAUCUUCAACGAGAUUGGCAAUGUCCAACCAAUAUUUGGCAACAACAACAAACGCACACAGCAUAACUCAUGAGUGCCUUCAACCGAACGUGAAACUUGACCCAAACCCUGCGAUGCUGUACAACUUCUUCGAAACUGGAACCCAAGGAUGUAGAACAAUCAUUCCUACGACAUGCUUAUCAUUUCUGCGGAUUCAAAAACGCGCCGAUGGACCUGCUUCAAUUUGAUUGUAUCGCUUUUGGCCUCUGGUAUUCGCACGGAAAUCCGGUCGUUGCUCCCGUUGUACUGGACAUGCUCUCUUGAUGUGUCCAAGAACACCACACACGUCGCAGACUUUGGUCUUUGCAUUGCAGCUUUCGGAUGAAUGGUAUCUCCCAGCGCAGUGAAUACACGGUUCAAGACCUCGAGUCAAUCGUUGUUGCGGAAAACGACCAAGGGUGUUUCGUUGAUCACGGCCAUGAUCUCUAUUAUUUUGAAAAGGUCCCGACUGCCUGGACUGAAAACCACCUCGAGUCGAUGGAAAUCGGAAAGCUUGUUGUUGAAAUCGAUUCGGAGGGCGUUGUUCUUGAGAAACAGCUGCAAUCACUAGUUGCUUAUCCUGGUGAGCUCUUGCAAAAACUUCUUCA